UACGAAGGGGGGCUAGCGUUGCUCGGAAUCACUGGGCGUAAAGGGCGCGUAGGCGGCCGAUUAAGUCGGGGGGUGAAAAGCCUGUGGCUCAACCACAGAAUUGCCUUUCAAUACUGGUUGGCUUGAGACCGGAAGAGGACAGCGGAACUGCGAGUGUAGAGGUGAAAUUCGUAGAUAUUCGCAAGAACACCAGUGGCGAAGGCGGCUGUCUGGUCCGGUUCUGACGCUGAGGCGCGAAAGCGUGGGGAGCAAACAGG
This 257-nucleotide ribosomal RNA is filed under the name uncultured bacterium. RNAcentral's name for it is "partial 16S ribosomal RNA". It matches the Rfam family "Bacterial small subunit ribosomal RNA", at positions 524 to 776 of the family's 1533-position model. The record is from RNAcentral.